Molecule: non-coding RNA, 29 nt
Filed under: Mus musculus (house mouse)
Lineage: Eukaryota; Metazoa; Chordata; Mammalia; Rodentia; Muridae
Source: RNAcentral
UGCCAACAAGACUAGCCAUAUCUGGGAAU